RNAcentral lists this ribosomal RNA (253 nucleotides) under uncultured bacterium. RNAcentral's name for it is "partial 16S ribosomal RNA". It matches the Rfam family "Bacterial small subunit ribosomal RNA", at positions 524 to 776 of the family's 1533-position model. The record is from RNAcentral.
UACAGAGGGUGCAAGCGUUGUUCGGAAUUAUUGGGCGUAAAGCGCGUGUAGGCGGCAGUGCAAGUCGGGUGUGAAAGCCCUCAGCUCAACUGAGGAAGUGCGCCCGAAACUGCAUUGCUUGAGUACCGGAGAGGAUGGCGGAAUUCCCGAAGUAGAGGUGAAAUUCGUAGAUAUCGGGAGGAACACCGGUGGCGAAGGCGGCCAUCUGGACGGAUACUGACACUGAGACGCGAAAGCGUGGGUAGCAAACAGG